Long non-coding RNA from Eptesicus fuscus (big brown bat), 206 nucleotides. RefSeq lists it as uncharacterized. Lineage: Eukaryota; Metazoa; Chordata; Mammalia; Chiroptera; Vespertilionidae. The record is from RefSeq and is a predicted model, not a curated record. The transcript has 3 exons.
UCGGGCGGAGCGGCCGCGAGCGCGUGUGGCCGGGCGGCCUCGGCCCGCGCAGAUGGACGGACCGCGGUGGACGGCGCCGGCGAGCGGCGCGGAGGGCCGCAGCGAGGGGAUCACCAUCCAGGAGACGAGGGUUCGGCCACACGUCGGAGUCCCCGGGAGAAGGAGGCCCGAGGCGGAGAGAGAGGAAGGGAAGGAGAUAGAAGCAU